Molecule: non-coding RNA, 94 nt
Organism: Mycena galopus ATCC 62051
Lineage: Eukaryota; Fungi; Basidiomycota; Agaricomycetes; Agaricales; Mycenaceae
Source: the annotation of a GenBank genome assembly
ACGCCCUUGGUGUAGUGUUAACACACAUCCAGUUUGUUGAUCAGUAACCAGGAACGUUACGGAUGAGUUCGAGGUUCGACUCCCUGAGGGUGCA